Pelobates fuscus (common spadefoot toad) is the source of this 4810-nucleotide long non-coding RNA. RefSeq lists it as uncharacterized. The record is from RefSeq and is a predicted model, not a curated record. The transcript has 2 exons. NCBI's taxonomy places the organism in Eukaryota, Metazoa, Chordata, Amphibia, Anura, Pelobatidae.
AAUAAUAAUAAUAAUGCAUUUUGGAUCGAUACCAGCUCAGUCUGGAUACAGAUAGACUUCCCGUACAACUCAUACUAUCCAUCGACAGAUUUAGCUUUGCUGUAAAAGAGCAACAAGAUUAUCAGCUGAAUGUCUCCUUAGGGCUUCAUUGAUAUUUUUAGUUUGUUCUUUUUUGAUAUGAUGUUUAAUCUAUGCUUAUCAUUCGAAAGCUAAAAUGUGAUUCUUGGAUGGGAGUAACAGCCCUCGGCAUCUCCAUUGUCCAUGUUAUCAGAACUCUCAACAUGAAAUACGGGGUAAGCCACUUUAAACCACUUGGUGCAUGGCGCCAGCAAAUAUCCGCGAAAUGCGCUGGCGUUUGGUGUCCCUAGAUAAACAAUACAAAAGGGGAACAUCAAACAUCCUCAGUAAAUGUAUGUGAUCCAUUGUGUUCCUUUUUCUGCCUAGUUUGUUGCUCAAUGUUUCAAAACCACCCCAAAUGACUCAAAAGGCCAGAUCUCUAUAGGAUAACGUAUGGAUGGCUCAUGAUCCCAUAGACAUAAAAAAGCUUUUAGACACAGGUGUCCCAGGUUAAUGGAAUUAAAAGAAAAUGCAAGCACUUAAAUAGGUUUAUUUUUUUAAUUGAAUUAUUUCAGCAUUGAAAGGAUGAUGCUUAUUCAUUUUGUUUAUUUUACGAAUAUGUUUCCUUUAAUAUAUGGAUUAUAACAGCCGGUUACUUUAAUAUUUGUUGAAUUCAGUAUUAUUCUCUGAGUCACUUUAUAUCAGCCUCAUGUUAGGAAGGUGAUCCCGUAACUGUUGGGUUUACGUGUUGUGAGCUGAUACUUUGAAUUACAUUGCACAUGGCUCCUUGGUUCUUAACGGCUAGGAUCUGCAAUCCUGUAUCACCCGUGACAUCUUCUGCAACUCUCUGUGCAAAUAUUGAUCCUUAGUGAGAAUAAGAGGGGGCUUGACAUGUCAUGUUUUGUUUCCUGUGUCGUCCCUGCAUCGCCGCAAUUUGUUUCAUGUGAACUUGCUUGUUGCCUAGUAACUGCACGUGAUCAUUACUGGAAGUCACAGAUUCUGGACAACCAGUGUAUCACUAAAACACUUGGAUAAUAACAAUUGUGAGAGGGCUGUCAAGCCAGGCCCUUGGCCCAUAGGAAUACAUGGCCUGUGUGUUGCAGCCUCACACCAUUCUUCUGUGGGUUACAUAGUGGAGGUGCGUUGGGAAGUCUGUUUGCACAGCAAAGCUGCAGUAAGGUAGCCGGGAUGAAUUGGACCGGGUUUACUAGCCCAGCUCUGUGUUAGUUUGUGUAGGGGUUGGUUCACCAGGCCUGGAAUGGCCGAUUGGGAUAUUUACGUGUGGACUGCUCUGUUUGGGGCUGGCAAGGUUGCCAGACUAUGAUGAGUAUGCAUACCUACCAAGUGUCCCUAUGUAGCAUGGACAGUCCCUAUUUUAGCCCAAAUCCCUUUGUCCCUCUUUUCCCUUUCUUUUAGGAGCUCCAUAUUGUUGGUGUGUCUGAGUGUAUAACAGAACUCCACAGCAAUAAAAUUAAAAAAGUAGUAUAUUUAAACUACAAUAAAUGUGUUUUGAAAUCAGUCUGUGGAAAUAAGAUAUGGUUCUUGUUAUAAAUUACAUUUUUAUUGUAGAAAUAAUUUAACAGCGCUGCCCCUGCACACUCACACCCUCACCCCUAAAAUGAAAGUGCCCCUAAAAGGAAAAUGACGUAGACAGGCACAGACCUGUCAUUCUGAACAACUCAGGCAGCCUCCGUCGGUCAAUAUCGCACGAGCAUGACAGUCCGCUCAUGGUUCUUCGACCCCCAGCCCUCCGCUAACGCAAGGGAAAUAAAAGUAAAUACUUAACUAUAUACGCCUCUUAACUGUAUCAUAUAAAUGCAUCUUCCAGUGUAUUACCAUUCAAGAUCACUCAUUUACUGUUGGGUGAGUGGCCCAUCAGUCUGUAUCACUGGAGAAAAUUAGCUAUAGGCAUGAAAAAGCUAAAAGCCAACCCUGUAUUCUGCUAGCCUUUCCUUGCUGUGUCUUUAGUAUAAUUGAGAAGUUUCCCUAACAGACUGCGAUUAUUGGAAAAGCCAUAGUACGGAAUGUUCCAUGUGUCUCUGAAUGAGUGUUGUGGCGAUGCCGGCCCAGAUUGCCCCAACCAGUAGCUGUGAGACUGCCAAUAAUUGGGAGAUCCAUCUUAUUAUUUCAGAUCAUGCGUUUCCCGCUUUCCCUGCGUAGUUACAGUGUACAAAGUGUUCUCCAAACAAAGCGUUCAUGGCGGUUUACAUGUGUAUAUAUGUUGUAUACAAGAUUUAUUCCAGUCUUUUUUUUAAUACAACAGUUAUGUCCAAAUAAUCUGUAAAAUUACCUACUAUUUAUUGUAAUGUGUUUUUAUUCUGCUGUUCAUAGUGUAUAUAUUUCACUUUUAAUUCAAUGACUGUUGAGAUAAUGCCAGAGCUUUAAGUCAGUAACUUGCUUAGAACGUGAUUCAGAUCAGCGGAGAGAAAUUCAUCUGGUGAAUACUGAGCAUCACGUUAACUCUUUACAUGAUGUCACCCACUUAACUAUUAAAAGCAAAGGGGGAUUUAACCCGUAGAGGUUAAUCACAUAUAUUAAAAGAUUUGGGUUCCAAUCAGCCAUUAUUAAAGAUGAUCAUUCCGUUAAUUAAUAUUAAGCCUUUUCAGGAUGUAGGACUAGCUUUAUAAGAGCUGAAGUACAUAGAUAUUUUCAAACCGCUACAGUUGAUCACUUUUCGUAAUUGAACUAAGAAAGGCAGAGGUUGGGAGAAAGAUAUAUUAAUACAAUAUAUACAGCUGAACAUAUAACAAAAAGCGUGCAUUUUAUCUGAGACCUAAACAACACGCCAUGUUUCCUCGAACAAGAGAAAUACGUUAAAUGACCAUAAUGUUCAGCUGUUUUAUUUCUAACCCUUUGAGAGCAUAUCCAAGCCUGUCAUUUUCUAAUAAUUACAAUGGUGAUAUAAAGUACCCUAAAUAAACUACAGCACAUGAACAAUAGUAAUGUCAGCCAGCUGAAACCCUUAACAAAAACUGAAAUCUAACUUAAUGUGCAAACAGUUUACUUAGUGAAUACAGUAUGCACACUUUCACAGAUUUAUAUUAGAUAUUGAAAAUCAAUAUAAUAAGUGCUCACCUCCCAGACACUACAAAGCAAAACUGAAAUAUCCUAAACUGCUCAUUUAUACAAUAUACAAAAUAAUAUAGACCUACCUGCCCUCUGAAAUCAUUAAAGGGACAUUAACAGAAAAUAAAUAAAUUAGAGAUAACCUCGAACAUGAAAUGCUUUCCCUACAAUUAAAGUUAAACAAGUGAUUAUUUGGCACAUUCAACGUUUAUAUUAUUAAAGCUAAACUGUCACAUGAAAACAGACAGAGGGAACUAGAAUAUUGUUGGGUGUUUUUAAAUGUUAUUUUUUUAAUAACCAAUGUGGAGGAGAGUAUGUAUUAGUGCACAAUGCCAACCAAUCCUGGCUGGGAUAAUAGACGUGUCUGUGAAGGGAUGUAGUGAAGAUUAUUAAAUGUUACGAAAGGUAUAUUGGAACGUCGGUAGAAUGCGAUGACUUGAAGUUGAAUAAACGUGAAGAAUUAUUCAGUUAAAAAAUGAGUUGUAUAAAACUCACAAUAUAUGGAAAUCCAAUUUAAAUUGUUUUGGUACAUGUUUAUUAAAACCCAUCACUGUGUUCGUUCUAUUCUAUAGAAAAUCCAGGGGCCGACUAUUCAGGUCUGAAGAAUGGGGCUCAGUGACAGGGAUUAAUAGAUAAACUCACCUUUGACAAUUAAGAAUUGAGAGAGCUAUAAAUCGGCAAGAUAGGUAUUAUUGUUUUAAUAUUAUCACAUUAUGGUAAUAGGGCUUCUCCGAAAGUUCGUAUUGCAAAAUCCAAUGUUCUGCGAAGCAAACCAUGAUCAAUACCCAUUGUUUAACCGCUCAUUAUUCAGGUAAAUCAUACCAUUAUUUAGAUCAAAGGUCACUACUCACGUCUCUUGUAUUAUAGGAUGUCUAGCGCUGACUGCCUUGUCCCCGAGAUAUUGUUUAUAAAUGUGUAAAGUGCUGUGUAUGGUAUGAUCAUUAUAGAUUGGAGUUUGAUAUCUGAUGGAGCAUUGAUCAAGUUAGUCUGGGAAUUAAAGGUCAAUGCUCUGUCCCCAGUCCAGGGUUUAAUAACAGACUGAAAUAACUGAGAUACUGCCGCUAUUCCAUCCAUUGGGGCUUACAGACAAAGAGCAAUUCUAGGCCAAGGAUCUGAAAGUCGAGCAGUUGCCAUGGAAACAAAUAACAUGUAUCUGCUGAUAUUACAUAUUAUUUUAGAACUCUGUCCUGGGUUGCUUUUUCACAUUGAAUCCCCUUUAAAAAGAAGCUAUAAUAAAUGCUACACAUCAGAUUGUGUGAUUACAGAAUUGGAUGUUGACACUCAUUUUCAACUUACAGGCAUCAUUGUUUUACAAGAAAGUAUUAUUAGAUAGGGAAAAGAGAGCAUAUUUUAUAUUUCAGAUGGUUAUUUUUAUAAUGGAAGGCUCGUGAUAUAGGAAACCAAGUAAAUGUAAAAACAUUGUCAGGGUUUAAUUGGCUAUAAUGCUGUGUGAAGAACCCACACCGUACCCAAGCCGGUAGAUGCCAUAUUCACGCCAAAUCUCUCUCUAAAACAUGUAUGGAAUCGCUAACUGGCACAAUACUUUGGUAUGUCCUCAUAUGUUGGUCAGUUUAAAAAUAUAAAUAAUUAAAUUAAAUUUGUAGUGUUCUUUUUAUGCGCACCUUUUAUAUUAGAAUAUACUGUCUUACUAAUAAAGAAAAAUUAAAACAUAUAUAUAUUUCCCUCA